GGGGAUAGAGGAUACAUACUACGGGUAGGGGGAUAGAGGAUACAUACUACAGGUAGGGGGAUAGAGGAUACAUACUACAGGUAGGAGGAUAGAGGAUACAUACUACAGGUAGGGGGGAGAGGAUACAUACUACAGGUAGGGGGUAGAGGAUACAUACUACAGGUAGGGGGAUAGAGGAUAGAGGAUAGAGGAUACAUACUACAGGUAGGGGAAUGGAGGAUACAUACUACAGGUAGGGGGAUAGAGGAUACAUACUACAGGUAGGAGGAUAGAGGAUACAUACUACAGGUAGGGGGAUAGAGGAUACAUACUACAGGUAGGGGGAUAGAGGAUACAUACUACAGGUAGGGGGAUAGAGGAUACAUA
Molecule: long non-coding RNA, 366 nt
Organism: Oncorhynchus tshawytscha (Chinook salmon)
Lineage: Eukaryota; Metazoa; Chordata; Actinopteri; Salmoniformes; Salmonidae
Source: Ensembl